RNAcentral lists this ribosomal RNA (253 nucleotides) under uncultured bacterium. RNAcentral's name for it is "partial 16S ribosomal RNA". It matches the Rfam family "Bacterial small subunit ribosomal RNA", at positions 524 to 776 of the family's 1533-position model. The record is from RNAcentral.
UACGUAGGGGGCAAGCGUUGUCCGGAUUUAUUGGGCGUAAAGAGCUCGUAGGCGGUUUGUCGCGUCUGCCGUGAAAGUCCGGGGCUCAACUCCGGAUCUGCGGUGGGUACGGGCAGACUAGAGUGAUGUAGGGGAGACUGGAAUUCCUGGUGUAGCGGUGAAAUGCGCAGAUAUCAGGAGGAACACCGAUGGCGAAGGCAGGUCUCUGGGCAUUAACUGACGCUGAGGCACGAAAGCUAGGGGAGCAAACAGG